AUGACAUUUACUGAAGUGGAUCCACACCCUCAACUGUGCAUGAAGGUAAUGAUCACCUUUCACCCUUUGGCUCUUUCAGUUUCAGUGGAAAGAAACAAUAGCGCUGACGUACUGUAAAUCAUAUCAGUAGGCUACAGGGCCGGAGUCAGGAGGUUUGAGGGACAGGGGCCAAAAAUGACAAACGGCACCAGGGGAGGUUGUGGCUCAGGGAUAGAGCUAGUGUCUUGGGGCCCAAUUGGUCAUUUAAAUCAAACAAGUGUAGAAUGGCAUGUUGGGAAUUUAUGGGGGUCGCUGUUGCCACAGACUGUUCCUGGUUCAGCGCAGUAGCCUAGCUUCCCUGAGUCCCUGCUUGUGUGACGAGUUAGUGGUGCUGUUAGCUUGAUUUUGCUCCCUUUACAAAGAGCCAGGCUACUGUAAACGUUGUGCUAAGCUAAGAGAACUGUCUAUAGGGCAGGAAGAUAAACCUAGCAUCUGGUUGCCUAAGGUUACUGGUUAGCUGGCACUGAUUAGUAGCUAAGCUCAUUGGCUGCUGGCUAGCUUUAUAUUUGCCAAAUACUAGUGGCUUUGUUAGUUCAGAUUAAUGAAUUCAGGAACAGGAAUGCCAGAUAAUAGCAUGAAAAACAUUUAACAUACAUCGGACAUACUUAUUUUUACAAUGAUAUACUCAUUUUUGGCGGUAUAGAGUAACUUAUUGCUUUCUAAUGCUUACAUAUAACAUGUUAGUGCUGAUGGCCUCUGCACUGCUGAACCUGUUCAUUUCUAUAAAAGGAUCGCACAGUGUAUGAUCACACCUUUCACAAUGGUGACUGCAGUGCUAAAAGAGGGAAGCUGUGCUUUUGUUAUCUGCAGUUUUUAGACUCUGCACUGAUUUACAACAGUACUUAACUGGAACUAUUUUCUGUGGGCAUGUUCUCUAAUGCAAAUUCUCAAAUUUAGGUUCCUGUCUUAGAACAAAGAAUGAUGUUUAUGGGCUUGACAUGCUGGAUGAAGAGAUUUACAAAAUACAAUUCUUCAAUCUUCUCCAGUUCACUGCCGGCUCUCAGUCCUGGACCAAGUGCCCCUUUGCGAAUGGACGAUUCCAAGCAUGGGAGAUUGUUGUGACGAGAAAGCAAGAUCACGAAGAUGUGCAGAUGUCGUCCCAGAUCAAUGCAACGUUUUCUGUGGGGCUGUGUGUGAAGUCUGAAGGGUCUGCUGGGUGCCAGGUCACAGAAACACACACCGUUCACGUGGAAAAACGCAAAGCUGUCGGAUUAAACCUGGCAGGGGAACUAUGCGGCUCCUGUCUCCAGGUGAUGAGGCUCGAUGUGAAAUUUGCUGCCACAGUCAAUCACUGUCUUAAGGAAUGUGGUAAGUACAUUUUUUGGGGGGUGCUUCUGCUCCUUAUGUACUAG
This 1391-nucleotide long non-coding RNA is filed under the name Sparus aurata (gilthead seabream). RNAcentral's name for it is "lncRNA (ENSSAUG00010002135.1)". Lineage: Eukaryota; Metazoa; Chordata; Actinopteri; Spariformes; Sparidae. The record is from RNAcentral.